This 159-nucleotide unclassified non-coding RNA is filed under the name Cytospora prunicola. RNAcentral describes it as "partial internal transcribed spacer 2". Lineage: Eukaryota; Fungi; Ascomycota; Sordariomycetes; Diaporthales; Cytosporaceae. The record is from RNAcentral.
CAACCCUCAAGCCUGGCUUGGUGUUGGGGCAUUGCCUUCCCUCGGGAGGGCAAGCCCUGAAAUUCAGUGGCGAGCUCGCCAGGACUCCGAGCGUAGUAGUAAAACCCUCGCUUUGGACUGUUCUGGCGCGGCCCUGCCGUAAAACCCCCAACUCUGAAA